UUUUAGGUCAUUAAACACAUUUCCUUUCAAUUUACAUCAGACAUAAGUGGCCUAAAAUCACAAGGGUAGAAAAGCUCAAGUUAGGAAAUUGUAUUUCUUUCAAGUUGAUUUUAUUCAUUUAGCUUAUUUUUUUGCAUGUCUUUUAGCUUGUUCACAUUUUGCUCAGAAUAGGAAAAUUUGAAGGAAAGGUUUUCUGGCUUCUGUAGAAUCAUGAAAGAACUUUAUUUUGGAAUUACCUGACAGAUGAACAGAGAAUAUCUUCAGUUCGCCCAAAUUCUUUAUUAAACAAUAUUAUAAGUGACAAUCUGUUUCCCCAGCUCUUAUCUGAGUACUUUGCUUAAAGAAACAAAUAAACACCCUGACAGUUGACUGACAGGAAAUAUGUUUUGUUUCUUUUUUUAUUCCAGCUUCAUUAUUUGCCAUG
This 424-nucleotide long non-coding RNA is filed under the name Bos taurus (domestic cattle). RNAcentral's name for it is "long non-coding RNA NONBTAT006598". The record is from RNAcentral. Lineage: Eukaryota; Metazoa; Chordata; Mammalia; Artiodactyla; Bovidae.